ACGCUGGCGGCAUGCCUAACACAUGCAAGUCGAACGAGACCUUCGGGUCUAGUGGCGCACGGGUGCGUAACACGUGGGAAUUUGCCUCGGGGUAUGGAAUAACUCAGGGAAACUUGAGCUAAUACCAUAUAAUGUCUUCGGACCAAAGAUUUAUCGCCCUGAGAUAAGCCCGCGUAGGAUUAGCUAGUUGGUGAGGUAAAGGCUCACCAAGGCGACGAUCCUUAGCUGGUCUGAGAGGAUGAUCAGCCACACUGGGACUGAGACACGGCCCAGACUCCUACGGGAGGCAGCAGUGGGAAUUUUGGACAAUGGGCGCAAGCCUGAUCCAGCAAUGCCGCGUGCAGGAUGAAGGCCUUCGGGUUGUAAACUGCUUUGUACGGAACGAAACGGUGAGCUCUAAUACAGUUUGCUAAUGACGGUACCGUAAGAAUAAGCACCGGCUAACUACGUG
RNAcentral lists this ribosomal RNA (451 nucleotides) under uncultured bacterium. Its description in RNAcentral is "bacterial SSU rRNA". It matches the Rfam family "Bacterial small subunit ribosomal RNA", at positions 33 to 507 of the family's 1533-position model. The record is from RNAcentral.